UACAGAGGGGGCAAGCGUUAUUCGGAAUUAUUGGGCGUAAAGGGCGCGUAGGCGGCUUGGCAAGUGGAUGGUGAAAUCCCUCGGCUUAACCGAGGAACUGCCGUCCAAACUGCUUCGCUUGAGACCAGGAGAGGUGAGUGGAAUUCCCAGUGUAGCGGUGAAAUGCGUAGAUAUUGGGAGGAACACCAGUGGCGAAGGCGGCUCACUGGACUGGUACUGACGCUGAUGCGCGAAAGCGUGGGGAGCAAACGGG
This 253-nucleotide ribosomal RNA is filed under the name uncultured bacterium. RNAcentral describes it as "partial 16S ribosomal RNA". It matches the Rfam family "Bacterial small subunit ribosomal RNA", at positions 524 to 776 of the family's 1533-position model. The record is from RNAcentral.